GAUGAACGCUGGCGGCGUGCCUAAUACAUGCAAGUCGAGCGAACGGACGAGAAGCUUGCUUCUCUGAUGUUAGCGGCGGACGGGUGAGUAACACGUGGAUAACCUACCUAUAAGACUGGGAUAACUUCGGGAAACCGGAGCUAAUACCGGAUAAUAUUUUGAACCGCAUGGUUCAAAAGUGAAAGACGGUCUUGCUGUCACUUAUAGAUGGAUCCGCGCUGCAUUAGCUAGUUGGUAAGGUAACGGCUUACUAAGGCAACGAUGCAUAGCCGACCUGACAGGCUGAACGGCCACACUGGAAGGGGAAUUAGGCCCAGCCCCCAUGGGCGGACGAGAGUGGGCAGUCUCCCGCAUGGGGCAAAACCGUGAAGGCGCCACCCCGUGCGCGUAAAAAAAGUUUUCGGCUCCUAAACCUCUGUUUUCGGGAAAGAAAUUAAGUGAAAGUUACUGGAGCACAUUGGAGGAUUCUGACAAAAAAAGCAACGGCUAAUCAGUA
This 496-nucleotide ribosomal RNA is filed under the name uncultured bacterium. RNAcentral describes it as "partial 16S ribosomal RNA". It matches the Rfam family "Bacterial small subunit ribosomal RNA", at positions 28 to 506 of the family's 1533-position model. The record is from RNAcentral.